GUCUAUGGCUAUACUACCCUGAACGCGCCCUGUCUCAGAAGCUAAGCAGGGUCGUGCCUAGUUAGUACUUGGUUGGGAGAUUUACAGAUGAUUCUCAUGCAAGUUGCAGAUG
This 112-nucleotide ribosomal RNA is filed under the name Ochotona princeps (American pika). Lineage: Eukaryota; Metazoa; Chordata; Mammalia; Lagomorpha; Ochotonidae. The record is from RNAcentral.